GUGCCCCCAACUCCGGUUUAGACUUCUCUUGCAGGUCCCGAUGGCGGCCGCGGUCAUCUCAACUCCAGCUUCUCCGACGUCGGUAAAAUUCUGCGCCAACAAAUUGGUGCUAGAAGAAGGGCGUGUCUUCGCAGUACCCUUAUUCUUAAAGGAGUGCUCAAUGGAACUGUCUCUGGUCAUCCUCUCUGACAUCUUCUUCUCCUUCUCCUGUC
Molecule: long non-coding RNA, 212 nt
Filed under: Elaeis guineensis (African oil palm)
Lineage: Eukaryota; Viridiplantae; Streptophyta; Magnoliopsida; Arecales; Arecaceae
Description: long non-coding RNA (EGUI_LNC055511)
Source: RNAcentral